Molecule: non-coding RNA, 838 nt
Filed under: Metaplax longipes
Lineage: Eukaryota; Metazoa; Arthropoda; Malacostraca; Decapoda; Varunidae
Source: RNAcentral
UAAAUGUUUGAUUUUGGCUUUAAAUUUUACUUUAUUAUUAAAGUUGCAUGAAAGUUUAAGCGAGCUGAUUAUUAGUUUAAUUAUAAAUUAAAUUAUUUAUUAUAAGAUAAGUAAAUUGAUUAUUUUUUAAGAUCUCAGCAUAAAAUAUUGUAAUUAAUUACAUGAUAAUGUGAAACAGUAGUAAUAUUUAAUGGUUAAGUCUGAUUAAUAUUUGUGCCAGCAUUCGCGGUUAUACUUUAAGACUAAGUAAAAUUUUUAGGAAUAUAGUUAAGUGAUUAAUUUUGUUUUAGUAAAUAUAGAUAAUAAAAGGUAAAAUUAGAAUAUUAUUUUAUAUUAAUUUGAAUUUAAACUGAAGCUAUAAAAGUUUAGAAAUAAACUAGGAUUAGAUACCCUACUAUUCUAAAAUUUGAAAUUGUUAAACUAAAAUAGUAAGAGGAUAGGUUCUUAAAACUUAAAAAAUUUGGCGGCAAUUUAAUCUUUUCAGAGGAACCUGUUUUUUGAUCGAUAAACCACGAAAAAUCUUGCUUGUUUUUGUUAAUAUUCAGUUUGUAUACCGUCAUUAAAAAAUAAUUCUUAAAGGAAAAAUCGUUUAGCUUAAUUGUUUACUAAAAUUAGAUCAAGGUGCAGCUUAUAAACAAGUUAAAAUGGGUUACAAUAAAUUACUUUACUGCGGAAUAUAAAAUAAAUAUAAUUAUGAAGAAGGAUUUGAUUGUAUUAUUGGUUUAAUAAGCUAAUAAGAUAUAAGUUCUAAAUUGUGCACAUAUCGCCCGUCGCUUCCAUUUAUACAUGGAAUAAGUCGUAACAUAGUAGGUGUACCGGAAGGUGUACCUAGAUCCAG